This 2009-nucleotide long non-coding RNA is filed under the name Macaca mulatta (Rhesus monkey). Its description in RNAcentral is "lncRNA (ENSMMUG00000050408.1)". Lineage: Eukaryota; Metazoa; Chordata; Mammalia; Primates; Cercopithecidae. The record is from RNAcentral.
AGAAAACCCGGAAGCAUUUGGCGUGCGGCAGAGCAGCCCUACAUUCCCACAGCCCCCUGAGCACCUGGCAUGGGUCCCCCAGCCCCCAUCUUCCAGGGUCAGCAGCAUCAUCCACACUGUGGCCAUACCCUUGGACUGUGAUUUGUCUGUUCUUACAUGGAGCCUCCACAAGAGUUGCGUUUGAUUGUAAGAGCCGGAAGGACAUGCUGACGCAGGACCAGGGGCCACCCUCUCAGCCGGACGGAGGCAGGAUCGACGCUGACACACGUCAGAGUGUCUAUGCAGGCUCUGUGGAAGCCCGCCGUAUCAUCCACAUGACUCAUCCUCAUUUGAUAGACAAGGCACCUGCAGAUCCAUCGGAAAUACAGGCCUCCAGGCCUGAGGGGACUUCCGCACCCUCUCUUCCAGUUACUGCCUAUUCUUAGGCUCUGCUUUUUUGACAAUCGAAGAACAGGGUCUUAUCCAGCACAAUACCCUGAUCACACUGGAUGCCUUGGAAAUAUCUGCAGCACUGAACUGACUGUAGAGUGGUGGAGAGUAGACGAAGCCCCUGGGAGGAGAGCUGUGCGGCUUUCAUCUGGGCUGAGGCUCUAUCUCAAAUGGCUUGAUUUUCUCUGUGUGGUGGCCAAGCCGUCUCCCCCUACCCAGACACCAGCUUCUGCCAAAACGCAAUGAUGCCUUAAUAGUUGGGCUGGAUUUCUGCUGGAUACUUUUAGCUUCAGCAGAAGAUAAACUAUUUGCUCCUUUACCUUCCCAGCCUUUGAGAAUAGGACUGUCCCCAUUGCAGGAACCCCAUGGUAACAUCAUCCUCCACCCCACUGGAGGCAAUCUCAUUUCCUUAGUGAGGACGACCAGAGACAGAUGGGUGGCCAUGCUCAGUACUAAUUAAACCAGCAAAGGAGGGCUUGAUCUCCAGGGCAGGAAGAAGGGUCCUCUUCCCAUUCCCUGAGGAUGCAAAACACAGCUCUGCCACUCACUGGUCCAGUGACUUUUGGCAAGUCACUGAAUCUCUCCCGGUCUCUGUGUUCCCAUAUGUAAAAGUAAUAGACCCAUCUCAUAGAGGGUACAAAAAGGAUUAAAUGAGUUAAUACACAUCGAGGACUGAACGUGGUGCUUGGCCGAUAGACAUGCUCAAUAAAUGUUAUGGCUAUUGGAAGUCUCUACGGAAAAGCAGAUCUCAGAGGGAUGAACUAUGGAUGUGUUCAACCUUGAACAUGUUCUCUUAGGAAUCAGCCACAUAUUCUCCAGUAAUGCAGGCAGGUCCUGGGACUUGAGUCUGUACCAAGGACCCAAGAUGACGUAGGAGGGAGAAAGCGGAAUAAUAGUGGUACCUGGGGGUAAUGCAGCCAGGUGAAGAUUCUGAGCAGGACACUGAGCUUUUAGGACUAACUGAUCCAAACUCAUUAUGACUUUUCUCAUUCAUUCAUUCACACAACAAAUAUUUAGCAAGGGCAUAUUGGGGGCGAGGCAGUGUGCUGAGUCCUGCCGAUCCCGUGAUGAACAAGAGCAUACAUUCCUGGAAUUUCUGUCCUAACUGAGGGGGUGGGAGCAAGGGGAGGCAGACUACAGAUAAGUAGAUGAAUACAUGAACGAGAUCAUUUCAGAGAGUACCUUGGUCAUCUAUUGCUACAUAGCAAACCACCCUUAAAAUGACGGUGGCUUAAAGUGGCUUAAAAUGACGGUGACCAUUUAUUUGCUCAGGAUUCUGAAGUUUGAGCAGGGGAAUCUGCAGUUGGAGUGGAUCAGCUCAUCUUUGCUCCACAUGGCUUUAACUGGGGCUGGAGGACCCACUUCCACAAUGGCUCACUUGCUAGGCUUGUUGGCUGUGGCUGGCUGUUGGUUUGGGGCCCAGGUGGGGCAAUAGGCCAGGGCCUUAGCCCUCCUUUGUGCCACCUCUUCACGUGGGUAAGCAAGGGCUUCUCACUGUCGAGGGAGCAUUCUAAGACAAGUGUCACGAGAAACAAGAAGCCACCGAAGUAUUCUAGGCACGGGAGUAAUGCUGUUUGAUG